This 2904-nucleotide ribosomal RNA is filed under the name Enterobacter ludwigii. RNAcentral describes it as "23S ribosomal RNA". It matches the Rfam family "Bacterial large subunit ribosomal RNA". Lineage: Bacteria; Pseudomonadati; Pseudomonadota; Gammaproteobacteria; Enterobacterales; Enterobacteriaceae. The record is from RNAcentral.
UUAAGCGACUAAGCGUACACGGUGGAUGCCCUGGCAGUCAGAGGCGAUGAAGGACGUGCUAAUCUGCGAAAAGCGCCGGCGAGGUGAUAUGAACCUUUGACCCGGCGAUGUCCGAAUGGGGAAACCCAGUGUGUUCCGACACACUAUCGUUAACUGAAUACAUAGGUUAACGAGGCGAACCGGGGGAACUGAAACAUCUAAGUACCCCGAGGAAAAGAAAUCAACCGAGAUUCCCCCAGUAGCGGCGAGCGAACGGGGAGCAGCCCAGAGUCUGAAUCAGCUUGUGUGUUAGUGGAAGCGUCUGGAAAGUCGCACGGUACAGGGUGACAGUCCCGUACACGAAAGCACACAGGUUGUGAACUCGAAGAGUAGGGCGGGACACGUGGUAUCCUGUCUGAAUAUGGGGGGACCAUCCUCCAAGGCUAAAUACUCCUGACUGACCGAUAGUGAACCAGUACCGUGAGGGAAAGGCGAAAAGAACCCCGGCGAGGGGAGUGAAAAAGAACCUGAAACCGUGUACGUACAAGCAGUGGGAGCCUCUUUUAUGGGGUGACUGCGUACCUUUUGUAUAAUGGGUCAGCGACUUAUAUUCUGUAGCAAGGUUAACCGUAUAGGGGAGCCGAAGGGAAACCGAGUCUUAACUGGGCGUUAAGUUGCAGGGUAUAGACCCGAAACCCGGUGAUCUAGCCAUGGGCAGGUUGAAGGUUGGGUAACACUAACUGGAGGACCGAACCGACUAAUGUUGAAAAAUUAGCGGAUGACUUGUGGCUGGGGGUGAAAGGCCAAUCAAACCGGGAGAUAGCUGGUUCUCCCCGAAAGCUAUUUAGGUAGCGCCUCGUGAACUCAUCUUCGGGGGUAGAGCACUGUUUCGGCUAGGGGGCCAUCCCGGCUUACCAACCCGAUGCAAACUACGAAUACCGAAGAAUGUUAUCACGGGAGACACACGGCGGGUGCUAACGUCCGUCGUGAAGAGGGAAACAACCCAGACCGCCAGCUAAGGUCCCAAAGUCAUGGUUAAGUGGGAAACGAUGUGGGAAGGCACAGACAGCCAGGAUGUUGGCUUAGAAGCAGCCAUCAUUUAAAGAAAGCGUAAUAGCUCACUGGUCGAGUCGGCCUGCGCGGAAGAUGUAACGGGGCUAAACCAUGCACCGAAGCUGCGGCAGCGACGCUUAUGCGUUGUUGGGUAGGGGAGCGUUCUGUAAGCCGUUGAAGGUGUCCUGUGAGGGGUGCUGGAGGUAUCAGAAGUGCGAAUGCUGACAUAAGUAACGAUAAAGCGGGUGAAAAGCCCGCUCGCCGGAAGACCAAGGGUUCCUGUCCAACGUUAAUCGGGGCAGGGUGAGUCGACCCCUAAGGCGAGGCCGAAAGGCGUAGUCGAUGGGAAACAGGUUAAUAUUCCUGUACUUGGUGUUACUGCGAAGGGGGGACGGAGAAGGCUAUGUUAGCCGGGCGACGGUUGUCCCGGUUUAAGCAUGUAGGCGGAACGAUUAGGUAAAUCCGGUCGUUUAUUAACGCUGAGGUGUGAUGACGAGGCACUACGGUGCUGAAGUAACAAAUGCCCUGCUUCCAGGAAAAGCCUCUAAGCAUCAGGUAACACGAAAUCGUACCCCAAACCGACACAGGUGGUCAGGUAGAGAAUACCAAGGCGCUUGAGAGAACUCGGGUGAAGGAACUAGGCAAAAUGGUGCCGUAACUUCGGGAGAAGGCACGCUGAUAUGUAGGUGAAGCCCCUGCGGGUGGAGCUGAAAUCAGUCGAAGAUACCAGCUGGCUGCAACUGUUUAUUAAAAACACAGCACUGUGCAAACACGAAAGUGGACGUAUACGGUGUGACGCCUGCCCGGUGCCGGAAGGUUAAUUGAUGGGGUUAGCGGUAACGCGAAGCUCUUGAUCGAAGCCCCGGUAAACGGCGGCCGUAACUAUAACGGUCCUAAGGUAGCGAAAUUCCUUGUCGGGUAAGUUCCGACCUGCACGAAUGGCGUAAUGAUGGCCAGGCUGUCUCCACCCGAGACUCAGUGAAAUUGAACUCGCUGUGAAGAUGCAGUGUACCCGCGGCAAGACGGAAAGACCCCGUGAACCUUUACUAUAGCUUGACACUGAACACUGGUCCUUGAUGUGUAGGAUAGGUGGGAGGCUUUGAAGCGUGGACGCCAGUCUGCGUGGAGCCAACCUUGAAAUACCACCCUUUAAUGGCUGGUGUUCUAACGUAGACCCGUAAUCCGGGUUGCGGACAGUGUCUGGUGGGUAGUUUGACUGGGGCGGUCUCCUCCCAAAGAGUAACGGAGGAGCACGAAGGUUAGCUAAUCCUGGUCGGACAUCAGGAGGUUAGUGCAAUGGCAUAAGCUAGCUUGACUGCGAGAGUGACGGCUCGAGCAGGUGCGAAAGCAGGUCAUAGUGAUCCGGUGGUUCUGAAUGGAAGGGCCAUCGCUCAACGGAUAAAAGGUACUCCGGGGAUAACAGGCUGAUACCGCCCAAGAGUUCAUAUCGACGGCGGUGUUUGGCACCUCGAUGUCGGCUCAUCACAUCCUGGGGCUGAAGUAGGUCCCAAGGGUAUGGCUGUUCGCCAUUUAAAGUGGUACGCGAGCUGGGUUUAGAACGUCGUGAGACAGUUCGGUCCCUAUCUGCCGUGGGCGCUGGAGAAUUGAGGGGGGCUGCUCCUAGUACGAGAGGACCGGAGUGGACGCAUCACUGGUGUUCGGGUUGUCAUGCCAAUGGCACUGCCCGGUAGCUAAAUGCGGAAGAGAUAAGUGCUGAAAGCAUCUAAGCACGAAACUUGCCCCGAGAUGAGUUCUCCCUGAGACUUUAAGUCUCCUGAAGGAACGUUGAAGACUACGACGUUGAUAGGUCGGGUGUGUAAGCGCAGCGAUGCGUUGAGCUAACCGAUACUAAUGAACCGUGAGGCUUAACCU